This 244-nucleotide ribosomal RNA is filed under the name uncultured bacterium. Its description in RNAcentral is "partial small subunit ribosomal RNA". It matches the Rfam family "Bacterial small subunit ribosomal RNA", at positions 26 to 285 of the family's 1533-position model. The record is from RNAcentral.
AGAAUCAACGCUGGCGGCGUGCCUAACACAUGCAAGUCGAACGAGAAAGUGGAGCAAUCCAUGAGUAAAGUGGCGCACGGGUGAGUAACACGUGAAUAAUCUACCUCCGAGUGGGGAAUAACUGAGAGAAAUCUUAGCUAAUACCGCAUAAUACCCACGGGUCAAAGCAGCAAUGCGCUUGGAGAGGAGUUCGCGGCCGAUUAGCUAGUUGGCGGGUAAUGGCCCACCAAGGCGAUGAUCGGUA